GCCGUUUAUUUCGCAUCGCUGUGCUUCCUGAAAUGAUGAAAGCACACAGACUUUUGCGCGACACCGAUAAUUACAGUGAGUUGAUGACGCCCUCGUGCGUCCACCGACCAUUUUUCUAUUUCUAACGAUCCCGAUCUUAUCUUGUACUAUCGUUUGAACAUCAAUAGGUAAGUGACUGUUCUCGAUCGAAUGUCUGGAAUAUUAUCAAGCGGCCAAUUGCUUAAGCUAUUUAAGCUAUGAACGUUGUUCGUAAGCAAAUUAAAUUUUUUACAUAAAAUUUCUGUACUUCUGCAAUUGUAAUGUACGUACAAAAGAAAGACAGAGCGACAAAGUGGAAGCAAUUGUACAAAAGAAAUAGCUGCUAUGGUAAAGCAGCUGUAGCCUUUGAUAUUCUCAAAACCACAUUGCACAGAGACCUGGGUCUAUCUCGAGAAUAUUCUCAGUUAAUAGAACCCUUCCAAACUGUGUUUUCGUGGAAGGAUUAAGCCUAUUAUUUGGUCUAACAGCAAUGAACACACCCAAACAUUAGGUUGUUCCAAAAGCUUCUUUCGUUUAAUAAGGAAAUGUUAGAUGCACAACAUUCUUUGUUUUAUACUAUUUUAUUGAAUUAUAGAAGAAAA
Molecule: unclassified non-coding RNA, 620 nt
Filed under: Bombus terrestris (buff-tailed bumblebee)
Lineage: Eukaryota; Metazoa; Arthropoda; Insecta; Hymenoptera; Apidae
Description: misc RNA ENSBTSG00005022696.1
Source: RNAcentral